CCGGCAUCGGAGAUGCAUUAAAGAUUUUAUCGGUGACGGAUGAGGAUGCGUACGAUUAGCUAGUUGGCGGGGUAACGGCCCACCAAGGCUACGAUCGUUAGGGGUUCUGAGAGGAAGGUCCCCCACACUGGAACUGAGACACGGUCCAGACUCCUACGGGAGGCAGCAGUGAGGAAUAUUGGUCAAUGGGCGAGAGCCUGAACCAGCCAAGUAGCGUGAAGGAUGACUGCCCUACGGGUUGUAAACUUCUUUUGUUUGGGAAUAAAAGACGCUACGUGUAGCGUUCUGCAUGUACCUUACGAAUAGGCAUCGGCUAAUUCCGUGCCAGCAGCCGCGGUAAUACGGAAGAUGCGAGCGUUAUCCGGAUUUAUUGGGUUUAAAGGGAGCGUAGGCGGGCUGUUAAGUCAGCGGUAAAAUGUCAAGGCCCAACCUUGUCCUGCCGUUGAAACUGGCGGUCUUGAAUGCACACAAGGGAGAUGGAAUUCGUCGUGUAGCGGUGAAAUGCUUAGAUAUGACGAAGAACUCCGAUUGCGAAGGCAGUCUCCUGGGGUGUAAUUGACGCUGAGGCUCGAAAGUGCGGGUAUCAAACAGGAUUAGAUACCCUGGUAGUCCGCACAGUAAACGAUGAAUGCUGGUUCUUGGCGAUAUACGGUCAGGAACUGAGGGAAACCAUUAAGCAUUCCACCUGGGGAGUACGCCGGCAACGGUGAAACUCAAAGGAAUUGACGGGGGCCCGCACAAGCGGAGGAACAUGUGGUUUAAUUCGAUGAUACGCGAGGAACCUUACCCGGGCUUGAAUUGCAGCUGCAUGGGGCAGAGAUGUCCCUUCCCUUCGGGGCUGCUGUGAAGGUGCUGCAUGGUUGUCGUCAGCUCGUGCCGUGAGGUGUCGGCUUAAGUGCCAUAACGAGCGCAACCCUUGCUGUCAGUUGCCAUCAGGUAAAGCUGGGCACUCUGGCGGGACUGCCACCGCAAGAUGUGAGGAAGGUGGGGAUGACGUCAAAUCAGCACGGCCCUUACGUCCGGGGCUACACACGUGUUACGAUGGGGAGUACAGAAAGCCGCUUCAUGGCGACAUGAGGC
Molecule: ribosomal RNA, 1080 nt
Filed under: uncultured bacterium
Lineage: Bacteria
Description: bacterial SSU rRNA
Rfam family: Bacterial small subunit ribosomal RNA
Source: RNAcentral